CAAAGAGAUAAUUUUAGACAGACAUAUGAAGAGCUUCAGAAACAAAUUAAUGAAUUUAUGGCAGGUUUUUAUGUAGUACUGAAUACAUUAAAGGAGAAUUACCAAAUGCUUACUUUGGGAGGGGAUGCCAAACUGGAGCUUGUAGGCAGCUUGGGUCCUUUCUCUGAAGGAAUCAUGUUCACUGUUUGACUACCUAUGAAAAGUUGGAAGAACAUCUUCAGCCUUUCAACAGGAGAGAAAAUGCUUAGUUCAUUGGCUGCCAUGGCUUUAGUAUUAGCUCUUCCCCUCUAUAAACCCACUCCCUUCUACUUCAGGGACAAGGUUGAUGCAGCCGUUGAUUUUAAAGAUGUGUCCAUUGUUGCAUUUUAUAAAUAUGAACAAACAGAAAUACUCAGUUCAUAAUUUCUCCUUGAAAUAUUAAUAUGUUUGCAAUUUCAGAUAGACUUACUGGAAUUUACAAGAUCUACAAUAUAACAAAAAAUGUUGCAGUAAGCCCCAAAUAAAUUGCAUCUAAAGGACUUUGUUGA
RNAcentral lists this long non-coding RNA (527 nucleotides) under Homo sapiens (human). RNAcentral describes it as "non-protein coding lnc-THSD7B-3:1". Lineage: Eukaryota; Metazoa; Chordata; Mammalia; Primates; Hominidae. The record is from RNAcentral.